AUUGAACGCUGGCGGCAUGCCUUACACAUGCAAGUCGAACGGCAGCACGGGUGCUUGCACCUGGUGGCGAGUGGCGAACGGGUGAGUAAUACAUCGGAACGUACCUUAUCGUGGGGGAUAACGCAGCGAAAGCUGUGCUAAUACCGCAUACGCCCUGAGGGGGAAAGCGGGGGAUCGCAAGACCUCGCGCGAUUAGAGCGGCCGAUGCCUGAUUAGCUUGUUGGUGGGGUAAAAGCCCACCAAGGCGACGAUCAGUAGCUGGUCUGAGAGGACGCACAGCCACACUGGGACUGAGACACGGCCCAGACUCCUACGGGAGGCAGCAGUGGGGAAUUUUGGACAAUGGGGGCAACCCUGAUCCAGCAAUGCCGCGUGAGUGAAGAAGGCCUUCGGGUUGUAAAGCUCUUUUGUCAGGGAAGAAACACCGGCUCUAACACAGUCCGGGAAUGACGGUACCUGAAGAAUAAGCACCGGCUAACUACGUGCCAGCCGCCGCCGUAA
This 501-nucleotide ribosomal RNA is filed under the name uncultured bacterium. RNAcentral's name for it is "partial 16S ribosomal RNA". It matches the Rfam family "Bacterial small subunit ribosomal RNA", at positions 29 to 523 of the family's 1533-position model. The record is from RNAcentral.